UACGGGGGGGGCAAGCGUUGUUCGGAAUUACUGGGCGUAAAGGGCUGGUAGGCGGCCAACUAAGUCGGAUGUGAAAUCCCCAGGCUUAACCUGGGAACUGCAUCCGAUACUGGUCGGCUUGAAUCCGGGAGAGGGAUGCAGAAUUCCAGGUGUGGCGGUGAAAUGCGUAGAUAUCUGGAGGAAUACCGGUGGCGAAGGCGGCAUCCUGGACCGGCAUUGACGCUGAACAGCGAAAGCUAGGGGAGCAAACGGG
This 253-nucleotide ribosomal RNA is filed under the name uncultured bacterium. Its description in RNAcentral is "partial 16S ribosomal RNA". It matches the Rfam family "Bacterial small subunit ribosomal RNA", at positions 524 to 776 of the family's 1533-position model. The record is from RNAcentral.